This is a long non-coding RNA of Oreochromis aureus, 322 nucleotides long. RefSeq lists it as uncharacterized. The record is from RefSeq and is a predicted model, not a curated record. The transcript is spliced from 3 exons. NCBI's taxonomy places the organism in Eukaryota, Metazoa, Chordata, Actinopteri, Cichliformes, Cichlidae.
ACAGGAGCAGCACAAUGUACACAAAAUCAUCAUCAUGACCAACUUUGAUCUACACUGGACUACAUGAGCUGCUGCUACAUAAACUAAAGUUUUUACCCCUCAGUCGGCUGAUGUCAUCAUCCCAGUGGGCGUGCGGGCGGUGUGGACAUCCAACUUUACGAAGGUCUCUGUGAUGUCAUUGAGAGUGGACGCUUUUGUAUGAUGAUCCCAGCCACUGUGAGCUCAGAAACCCCGCCCACCUGCACUUCAAACUUUCUAUUUGUGAGGGCAGCUAAUCAGAAUAGUUUGUUUUAGAUCAAGGAUGAAGUGACAGGUUGAGUCA